Molecule: ribosomal RNA, 506 nt
Filed under: uncultured bacterium
Lineage: Bacteria
Description: partial 16S ribosomal RNA
Rfam family: Bacterial small subunit ribosomal RNA
Source: RNAcentral
AGUGAACGCUGGCGGUAGGCCUAACACAUGCAAGUCGAACGGCAGCACAGGAGAGCUUGCUCUCUGGGUGGCGAGUGGCGGACGGGUGAGGAAUACAUCGGAAUCUACUCUGUCGUGGGGGAUAACGUAGGGAAACUUACGCUAAUACCGCAUACGACCUACGGGUGAAAGCAGGGGACCUUCGGGCCUUGCGCGAUUGAAUGAGCCGAUGUCGGAUUAGCUAGUUGGCGGGGUAAAGGCCCACCAAGGCGACGAUCCGUAGCUGGUCUGAGGGGAUGAUCAGCCACAAUGGCACUGAGACUCGGUCCAGCCUCCUACGGGAGGCAGCAGUGGGGGAUAUUGGGCAAUGGGCGCAAGCCGGAUUCAGCCAUACCGCGUGGGUGAAGAAGGCCUUCGGGUUGUAAAGCCCUUUUGUUGGGAAAGAGAUCCAGCUGGCUAAUACCCGGUUGGGAUGACGGUACCCAAAGAAUAAGCACCGGCUAACUUCGUGCCAGCCGCCGCCGUAA